This 484-nucleotide ribosomal RNA is filed under the name uncultured bacterium. RNAcentral describes it as "partial 16S ribosomal RNA". It matches the Rfam family "Bacterial small subunit ribosomal RNA", at positions 29 to 523 of the family's 1533-position model. The record is from RNAcentral.
AGUGAACGCUGGCGGCGUGCUUAACACAUGCAAGUCGAACGAGAACGGAUUAUAGCUUGCUAUAAUUGUCAGCUAAGUGGCGCACGGGUGAAUAAUGUAUAGGUAAUAUGCCUCUUACUAAGGGAUAACAAAUGGAAACGUUUGCUAAUACCUUAUACUCCUUAUUAACAGAAGUUAAUAAGGGAAAGAUUUAUUGGUAAGAGAUUAGCCUGUAUUGUAUCAGUUAGUUGGUGGGGUAAUGGCUUACCAAGACUAUGACACAUAACUGGUUUGAGAGGAUGAUCAGUCACACUGGAACUGAGACACGGUCCAGACUCCUACGGGAGACAGCAGUGGGGAAUAUUGCGCAAUGGACGAAAGUCUGAUGCAGCAACGCCGCGUGGAGGAUGACACAUUUCGGUGCGUAAACUCCUUUUAUAUGAGAAGAUAAUGACGGUAUUAUAUGAAUAAGCACCGGCUAACUCCGUGCCAGCCGCCGCCGUAA